Hypanus sabinus (Atlantic stingray) is the source of this 666-nucleotide long non-coding RNA. RefSeq lists it as uncharacterized. NCBI's taxonomy places the organism in Eukaryota, Metazoa, Chordata, Chondrichthyes, Myliobatiformes, Dasyatidae. The record is from RefSeq and is a predicted model, not a curated record. The transcript is spliced from 12 exons.
UCUUCCUUAUGUAUAAUGUGUACUUUUAUUUUUGUUUGGAUAUCAUCCCUGCAGUAUGAAUUGACUUCUGAUUUGUUUUCAAUUUUAGGUGCGGCCUGAGAGGGGAAUGUUGAAGCAGGUCUGUUUGCUCCAUUCCUGUUUUGUAGAGGUUCUGUACCCAGACGUGGCCUCUAUGCUCCAAUUCUUACAAGGGUGCCUUGCCUGCAGGAGCUCGUGAUGAAGCUGGAAAUACCAAUCCUAUUUGAUAUGCAGGACAGUUGCCUUGACGGUAAUGAAACUGAUGCAUUCCUGACGUGAGAGAUGGAGGAUGCCCAGGAGUCUAGAAGCUGCAGCGGAUCUGCCUUGGAUGUGGUGUGACUGAUGCUGGCAUCUUCUGGGUCGAUCAGGGACUUAUGCGCUGGGAUGGCAAACUGGAGUAGGAUCCUUGGCCAUGAGUGACUUCGUGCUGAGUGAUGGAGUUCCUACCUGAGAAACGGUGCUGAGGCAGGGUUCUCCAGGCCAGAAUGAAGAUGGGUGACUUUCAGGCACAAAUUUCAAUUUUCCAUCCUUGUUGGACUCCUGCUUCAAAAUACUGUACCCUGUUUCUGCAGGUUGUUCCUGCAGUGAAGUGUAUUUGGCUUCUGUUAAAGUGUUUAAACUGAAAUAAAUUUGACUUCAUUUUCAAAA